UGGUUUGUCGCGUUGUUCGUGAAAUCUCACGGCUUAACUGUGAGCGUGCGGGCGAUACGGGCAGACUUGAGUACUGCAGGGGAGACUGGAAUUCCUGGUGUAGCGGUGGAAUGCGCAGAUAUCAGGAGGAACACCGGUGGCGAAGGCGGGUCUCUGGGCAGUAACUGACGCUGAGGAGCGAAAGCGUGGGGAGCGAACAGGAUUAGAUACCCUGGUAGUCCACGCCGUAAACGGUGGGUACUAGGUGUGGGUUUCCUUCCUUGGGAUCCGUGCCGUAGCUAACGCAUUAAGUACCCCGCCUGGGGAGUACGGCCGCAAGGCUAAAACUCAAAGAAAUUGACGGGGGCCCGCACAAGCGGCGGAGCAUGUGGAUUAAUUCGAUGCAACGCGAAGAACCUUACCUGGGUUUGACAUGCACAGGACGCCGGCAGAGAUGUCGGUUCCCUUGUGGCCUGUGUGCAGGUGGUGCAUGGCUGUCGUCAGCUCGUGUCGUGAGAUGUUGGGUUAAGUCCCGCAACGAGCGCAACCCUUGUCUCAUGUUGCCAGCGGGUAAUGCCGGGGACUCGUGAGAGACUGCCGGGGUCAACUCGGAGGAAGGUGGGGAUGACGUCAAGUCAUCAUGCCCCUUAUGUCCAGGGCUUCACACAUGCUACAAUGGCCGGUACAAAGGGCUGCGAUGCCGCGAGGUUAAGCGAAUCCUUUUAAAGCCGGUCUCAGUUCGGAUCGGGGUCUGCAACUCGACCCC
RNAcentral lists this ribosomal RNA (745 nucleotides) under uncultured bacterium. RNAcentral describes it as "bacterial SSU rRNA". It matches the Rfam family "Bacterial small subunit ribosomal RNA", at positions 576 to 1319 of the family's 1533-position model. The record is from RNAcentral.